Molecule: ribosomal RNA, 497 nt
Filed under: uncultured bacterium
Lineage: Bacteria
Description: partial 16S ribosomal RNA
Rfam family: Bacterial small subunit ribosomal RNA
Source: RNAcentral
GAUGAACGCUGGCGGCGUGCCUAAUACAUGCAAGUCGAGCGAACAGACGAGGAGCUUGCUCCUCUGACGUUAGCGGCGGACGGGUGAGUAACACGUGGAUAACCUACCUAUAAGACUGGGAUAACUUCGGGAAACCGGAGCUAAUACCGGAUAAUAUAUUGAACCGCAUGGUUCAAUAGUGAAAGACGGUUUUGCUGUCACUUAUCGAUGGAUCCGCGCCGCAUUAGCUAGUUGGUAAGGUAACGGCUUACCAAGGCGACGAUGCGUAGCCGACCUGAGAGGGUGAUCGGCCACACUGGAACUGAGACACGGUCCAGACUCCUAAGGGAGGCAGCAGUAGGGAAUCUUCCGCAAUGGGCGAAAGCUUGACGGAGCAACGCCGCGUGAGUGAUGAAGGUCUUCGGAUCGUAAAACUCUGUUAUUAGGGAAGAACAAAUGUGUAAGUAACUAUGCACGUCUUGACGGUACCUAAUCAGAAAGCCACGGCUAACUACGUG